This 460-nucleotide ribosomal RNA is filed under the name uncultured bacterium. Its description in RNAcentral is "partial 16S ribosomal RNA". It matches the Rfam family "Bacterial small subunit ribosomal RNA", at positions 338 to 795 of the family's 1533-position model. The record is from RNAcentral.
CCUACGGGCGGCAGCAGUGAGGAAUAUUGGUCAAUGGACGAGAGUCUGAACCAGCCAAGCAGCGUGAAGGAUGACUGCCCUAUGGGUUGUAAACUUCUUUUAUAUGGGAAUAAAAUGUUCCACGUGUGGGAUUUUGUCUGUACCAUAUGAAUAAGGAUCGGCUAACUCCGUGCCAGCAGCCGCGGUAAUAUGGAGGAUCCGAGCGUUAUCCGGAUUUAUUGGGUUUAAAGGGAGCGUAGGUGGAUUGUUAAGUCAGUUGUGAAAGUUUGCGGCUCAACCGUAAAAUUGCAGUUGAAACUGGCAGUCUUGAGUACAGUAGAGGUGGGCGGAAUUCGUGGUGUAGCGGUGAAAUGCUUAGAUAUCACGAAGAACUCCGAUUGCGAAGGCAGUUCACUGGACUGCAACUGACACUGAGGCUCGAAAGUGUGGGUAUCAAACAGGAUUAGAUACCCUUGUAGUC